GACGAACGCUGGCGGCGUGCCUAAUACAUGCAAGUCGAGCGGGCCUCCGGAGGUGCUUGCACCUCCGGAAGGCCAGCGGCGGACGGGUGAGUAACACGUGGGCAACCUGCCUUUGAGGCCGGGAUAACACCGGGAAACCGGUGCUAAUACCGGAUACGUCCUCUUUCGCGCCUGCGAGAGGGGAGAAAGACGGUCUUUAAGGCCGUCGCUCGAAGAGGGGCCCGCGGCGCAUUAGCUGGUUGGUGGGGUAAGGGCCUACCAAGGCGACGAUGCGUUGCCGACCUGAGAGGGUGAUCGGCCACACUGGGACUGGGACACGGCCCAGACUCCUGCGGGAGGCAGCAGUAGGGAAUCAUCUGCAAUGGGCGAAAGCCUGACGGUGCAACGCCGCGUGAGUGAGGAAGGUUUUCGGAUCGUAAAGCUCUGUUGUGAGGGAAGAACAGCUUCCGGAGGAAAUGCCGGAGGUUUGCCGGUACCUCACCAGAAAGCCCCGGCUAACUACGUGCCAGCAGCCGCAGUAA
RNAcentral lists this ribosomal RNA (521 nucleotides) under uncultured bacterium. RNAcentral's name for it is "partial 16S ribosomal RNA". It matches the Rfam family "Bacterial small subunit ribosomal RNA", at positions 28 to 523 of the family's 1533-position model. The record is from RNAcentral.